This 492-nucleotide ribosomal RNA is filed under the name uncultured bacterium. RNAcentral's name for it is "partial 16S ribosomal RNA". It matches the Rfam family "Bacterial small subunit ribosomal RNA", at positions 29 to 507 of the family's 1533-position model. The record is from RNAcentral.
AGUGAACACUGGCGGUAGGCCUAACACAUGCAAGUCGAACGGCAGCACAGUAAGAGCUUGCUCUUACGGGUGGCGAGUGGCGGACGGGUGAGGAAUACAUCGGAAUCUACUUUUUCGUGGGGGAUAACGUAGGGAAACUUACGCUAAUACCGCAUACGACCUACGGGUGAAAGCAGGGGAUCUUCGGACCUUGCGCGAUUGAAUGAGCCGAUGUCGGAUUAGCUAGUUGGCGGGGUAAAGGCCCACCAAGGCGACGAUCCGUGGCUGGUCUGAGAGGAUGAUCAGCCACACUGGAACUGAGACACGGUCCAGACUCCUACGGGAGGCAGCAGUGGGGAAUAUUGGACAAUGGGCGCAAGCCUGAUCCAGCCAUACCGCGUGGGUGAAGAAGGCCUUCGGGUUGUAAAGCCCUUUUGUUGGGAAAGAAAAGCAGCAGGUUAAUACCCCGCUGUUCUGACGGUACCCAAAGAAUAAGCACCGGCUAACUUCGUG